GUGUGUGUGUGUGUGUGUGUCUCUUUAUGUAUGUGUCUGUAUGAUACAGACACAUACAUACAGAGACACACACAUACAG
Non-coding RNA from Pelobates cultripes (western spadefoot toad), 79 nucleotides. NCBI's taxonomy places the organism in Eukaryota, Metazoa, Chordata, Amphibia, Anura, Pelobatidae. The record is from the annotation of a GenBank genome assembly.